UGGGGAAUAUUGGACAAUGGGGGCAACCCUGAUCCAGCAAUGCCGCGUGUGUGAAGAAGGUCUUCGGAUUGUAAAGCACUUUCGACGGGGACGAUGAUGACGGUACCCGUAGAAGAAGCCCCGGCUAACUUCGUGCCAGCAGCCGCGGUAAUACGAAGGGGGCCUAGCGUUGCUCGGAAUGACUGGGCGUAAAGGGCGUGUAGGCGGUUUACACAGUCAGAUGUGAAAUCCC
This 232-nucleotide ribosomal RNA is filed under the name uncultured bacterium. RNAcentral's name for it is "partial 16S ribosomal RNA". It matches the Rfam family "Bacterial small subunit ribosomal RNA", at positions 355 to 603 of the family's 1533-position model. The record is from RNAcentral.